UCGAUGCAUAUAACUAUGGGAAAGUACACAAAGCUCUUUCCUUGGCUUCAAGUUGUUCAUUAUCCCAUAUGAUGUCCUUCAAGGCAUUUAUUAGUUCAAAUGCAUGUCAAUUGCUUUAUUGAUUGUUUGACAGCACAGACCAGUAUUUUUAAACUCCCAGCGAUUUGGGGGCAAUUGGCCUGUCGGAGGUAAUAGAUCUCUACGCUAGUUUGAUGUCUUUCGAGUAGUAUUUUGUGAACGACAUUAUAAGUUAUGAUUCGAUUAUUUGCAAUAAUAAUUUGAAGCAUCUUGAUCAUACAAGAUGUCACAAGUUGUAUGCUUGAUGAUUCGAGUAUAGUGAAAUACAAUUUCUGAUAUGAUCAAUAUAUAUCAUUCGUGAUAUUAUUAUUGUGAACAGUUUAACCAUAACUCACAUGUCAUUCAUAAAAU
Molecule: long non-coding RNA, 429 nt
Filed under: Olea europaea (common olive)
Lineage: Eukaryota; Viridiplantae; Streptophyta; Magnoliopsida; Lamiales; Oleaceae
Description: long non-coding RNA (OEUR_LNC010384)
Source: RNAcentral